This 65-nucleotide small nucleolar RNA is filed under the name Echinops telfairi (small Madagascar hedgehog). RNAcentral describes it as "Small nucleolar RNA SNORD113/SNORD114 family (ENSETEG00000025375.1)". Lineage: Eukaryota; Metazoa; Chordata; Mammalia; Afrosoricida; Tenrecidae. The record is from RNAcentral.
AGGAUCAACCAGGAGUCCUGGUGGCUUAUGAGUCUACAUAAUGAGCUUCUAAUAACGUGUUCCAU